Azospirillum brasilense is the source of this 77-nucleotide non-coding RNA. NCBI's taxonomy places the organism in Bacteria, Pseudomonadati, Pseudomonadota, Alphaproteobacteria, Rhodospirillales, Azospirillaceae. The record is from Rfam.
CACUGACGCCUUAUUGGGCGUUUCCUCCCUAGACUCGGGCCGCCGGAGCAAUCCUGGCGGCCUUUUUCUUUGCGCGG